This 85-nucleotide transfer RNA is filed under the name Sediminispirochaeta sp. Its description in RNAcentral is "tRNA-Leu". It matches the Rfam family "tRNA". From Rfam's summary of the family: Transfer RNA (tRNA) molecules are approximately 80 nucleotides in length. The record is from RNAcentral. Lineage: Bacteria; Pseudomonadati; Spirochaetota; Spirochaetia; Spirochaetales; Spirochaetaceae.
GCUGCAGUGGUGGAAUUGGUAGACACGCUAGCUUGAGGGGCUAGUGGGCAUUGCGCUCGUGGAGGUUCAAGUCCUCUCUGCAGCA